GACGAACGCUGGCGGCGUGCCUAAUACAUGCAAGUAGAACGCUGAAGGAGGAGCUUGCUUCUCCGGAUGAGUUGCGAACGGGUGAGUAACGCGUAGGUAACCUGCCUGGUAGCGGGGGAUAACUAUUGGAAACGAUAGCUAAUACCGCAUAAGAGUAGAUGUCGCAUGACAUUUGCUUAAAAGGUGCAACUGCACCACUACCAGAUGGACCUGCGUUGUAUUAGCUAGUUGGUGAGGUAACGGCUCACCAAGGCAACGAUACAUAGCCGACCUGAGAGGGUGAGCGGCCACACUGGGACUGAGACACGGCCCAGACUCCUACGGGAGGCAGCAGUAGGGAAUCUUCGGCAAUGGACGGAAGUCUGACCGAGCAACGCCGCGUGAGUGAAGAAGGGUUUCGGAUCGUAAAGCUCUGUUGUACGAGAAGAACGAGUGUGAGAGUGGAAAGUUCACACUGUGACGGUAGCUUAACAGAAAGGGACGGCUAACUACGUG
This 495-nucleotide ribosomal RNA is filed under the name uncultured bacterium. RNAcentral describes it as "partial 16S ribosomal RNA". It matches the Rfam family "Bacterial small subunit ribosomal RNA", at positions 28 to 507 of the family's 1533-position model. The record is from RNAcentral.